UACGUAGGCAGCGAGCGUUGUUCGGAGUUACUGGGCGUAAAGGGUGUGUAGGCGGUUGUUUAAGUUUGGUGUGAAAUCUCCCGGCUCAACUGGGAGGGUGCGCCGAAUACUGAAUGACUUGGAGUGCGGGAGAGGAGAGUGGAAUUCCUGGUGUAGCGGUGAAAUGCGUAGAUAUCAGGAGGAACACCGGUGGUGUAGACGGCUCUCUGGACCGUAACUGACGCUGAGACACGGAAGGCCAGGGGAGCAAACGGG
RNAcentral lists this ribosomal RNA (255 nucleotides) under uncultured bacterium. Its description in RNAcentral is "partial 16S ribosomal RNA". It matches the Rfam family "Bacterial small subunit ribosomal RNA", at positions 524 to 776 of the family's 1533-position model. The record is from RNAcentral.